GUGUCAGCCGCCGCGGUAAUACGUAGGUGGCGAGCGUUGUCCGGAUUCAUUGGGCGUAAAGAGCGCGUAGGCGGCUUGCCAGGUCUGAUGUGAAAGCCUGGGGCUCAACCCCAGAACUGCAUCGGAAACCGGUUUGCUAGAGUCUGGGAGAGGGGAGUGGAAUUCCUGGUGUAGCGGUGAAAUGCGUAGAUAUCAGGAGGAAGGCCUGUGGCGAAGGCGGCCCUCUGGCGCUCAACUGACGCUGAGGCGCGAAAGCGGGGGUAGCAAACAGGAUUAGAUACCCUGGUAGUCCACGCCCUAAACGGUGGGCACUAGGUGUGGGGCUCGAGAGGGUUCCGUGCCGAAGGGAAACCAAUAAGUGCCCCGCCUGGGGAGUACGGCCGCAAGGUUGAAACUUAAAGGAAUUGACGGGG
This 413-nucleotide ribosomal RNA is filed under the name uncultured prokaryote. Its description in RNAcentral is "bacterial SSU rRNA". It matches the Rfam family "Bacterial small subunit ribosomal RNA", at positions 505 to 918 of the family's 1533-position model. The record is from RNAcentral.